Molecule: ribosomal RNA, 1263 nt
Filed under: Triticum aestivum (bread wheat)
Lineage: Eukaryota; Viridiplantae; Streptophyta; Magnoliopsida; Poales; Poaceae
Description: partial small subunit ribosomal RNA
Source: RNAcentral
AUGCCGCUGCUGCCGCGCCGGCCGCCGGCGGCGCUCUACGUCCCGGUGCGGGGUCUCCUCGAGGCCCGCGUGCCGUGGGGCCGGGACCGCGCGCUGGACCACGUCGUGGAGCGGGAGCGCCACCUCGUGCCCUUCCUCCUCACCAAGGACGCGCUCCUCACGGCCGCGCCGCCGCCGCACGCCGUGCCGCUCCACGCGCUGCCCUCCACCAUCCCCUUCCCCUUCCGCCCGCUCCGCUUCCUCCGCCUCUACGCCUCCGCCUUCGCGCUCUCGCCGCACCCCGUCACCGUCUCGCCCACGCACAGGCUCAGCGCGCUCCACCUCGACGAGGCGCAGGCCGUCGACGCCACCCGCGCCGACGCCGCCGACCGCCUGCUGCGCCUCCUCAUGCUCGCGCCCUCCCGCGCGCUCCCGCUCCACCUCGUCGCGCGCAUCCGCCUCGACCUCGGCCUCCCCUCCGACUUCCCCCGCUCGCUCCUCCCGCACUACCCGGACUACUUCGCGCUCUCCGCCGACGGCCGCCUCCUCGAGCUCGUCUGCUACCGGAAGGACCUCGCCGUGUCGGCCGUGCAGUCCUACGCGCAGCGGACCGGCGGGUACAAGAUCGGCGACCCCAUCGCCUUCCAGCUCUCGUUCCCCCGUGGAUUUGAGCUCGACAAGAACGUUCGCAAGUGGCUGGAUGAGUGGCAGAAGCUGCCAUACAUCUCGCCGUACGAAGAUGGUUCGCACCUGGCUCCGAGGAGCGACAUCACGGAGAAGAGGACUGUGGCGGUGCUGCACGAGGCGCUCAGCCUCACGGUGGGGAAGAAGAUGGAGAAGGAGGUUUUGGUCAAGCUUGGGGAGGCUCUUAGGCUACCGCCGGGGUUCAGGAAGGUGCUCGCGAGGCACCCAGGUAUCUUCUACCUGUCGCAUAAGCUGAGGACCCAAACGGUGGUGCUCCGGGAAGCCUACCGGAGGCAUAUGUUGGUGGACAAGCACCCAAUGAUGGGGAUAAGGUAUCAGUUCCUGCAUUUGAUGCAUAUGGGGAGGGAGGAGGCUGGUAAAGCAAAGGGCAAGGAGAGGAAGACAGUUCGUGGCGACCAAAUGAUGGGAGACGAGUAUGGUGCAGAUGGGGAGAACGAGGAUGAUUACGAUGAUGAGGAGGAUGAAGAAGAGGAUGAGGAGAACAUUGAAGCGGGUGUUGCUUCAGAGGACGAGGAGAGCGAUGACGAGGACACAGAGAACAGGGGAGAAACUGGAGAACCGCAGCAAGCCGCUAACUGA